GCCGUUCCCAUGGCGACCGAUGCGUCCCGCGCUCUAGGCGAAGACCGCGGCCCCGUCCCCGCGCCUCCACCGCCUUCUUCCAGGAGGAGGGGCCGUGCGGCGCCUGCCCGGGGGCCCUCAGGCCGCAGGCGGGCGCGAGCUUCAGGGAACUUAGGGGGCUCCCGCCUCCCCGGCCACGCGAGCGGGAACAGUCUCCUCCACUCGGAGCGAUUAUAGAUCCAGACUCCUGUGCCUGACCACUGCCCAUGGCCAACUCUCUGCUGAUGACUGGACUUGACUACACAAGUUGUUGGCCAUCUUAAAACCACUCAAAGUUGACGGUCUCCUCUCCUGCCUCCUGCGGCUUCCAUUACCAUGGCAGAGACUGUGGUGUCUGAGGUGGUGUAGCGUACUGAAGCAAGGCUGUCUUGAAGAAGAGGAGACAACUCACAAUUCUACCACCUUUGUUGACCUCUUCUUCCCCCCAACUUAUUGCUGUAGAGGCUACCUGAGCUCAUUGUCCCUGGAGAUGGACCAAAUAGAAGAAUAAGCAGUGCCUGUGUGCUGAAGGUAAAGAAAUUUCAUGUGGUGGAUUCCUACAAAAGAAAAAGCUGCAAAAGAGUCAACCAGGAAAGGUGCUAGACACACAUCCAAUGGCUGCUGAGUGAUGAAUGAGAAAGAAACCUUCGGCCCCAACUACAGAAGAUAAGAGGGCAUAGGAAAAGUUUUUCCUCUCUACAAGCCAAAAGUCGCAAGGCUAAUAUUUACUCCCCUGAUUCUCUCCUCCAGAGCCCACACCCUUCAUCACUACUGAUAAAGUUUCAAAUAUGUUUUUCAAAUCUGGCAUUCAUGGUUGCUACUGCACUGGAAUAAUGGUAACAACAGGCUGAUGAGAAUCUUAAGUGGCACUUACUCAGUGGAGUAAUUGGAAGCGGCAAUGGUUAUACAAAUGAAUGCCCCUCAGAGGGAAGAAGGAGAGAUUUGCCUUGAAACUGCGGCUGUAAAAAGUUAGUGCUGGUAAGUGAAGAAACAGAAACUAAGUGAUAGAGAAUGGGAACUAAGGUAGAAAUAACUAACAAAGAUCACUGUGCAGAACCGUAGUGGUGUUCAGAGUAGAUGCGCAAGUCCAUAUGCAUGUAGCAAAUACAAGUCUCAACCCACAAAAUAAAGUGAAGAUGAAUAUAUUUUAAUUUUGUUAAUAAAGUUAUUUUAAUUUCUGUUAUAAGCUCUCUUCCACCAAGACAGAAGCACGGUCACAUGCCUGGGUAAAAAGAAUAUCCCAGAUACCCAAGACUAGACAGCAUGCAGGGGUGACAGGCUUAUUAACUUCACACUCACUGGGCCAUCAGUACUUUACUUAUAACCUCAUUCAUGGUUUUGAAGUUUUAAAAAAAUGUUGCCACCUUGUUAUUUUGUUACUCCUCUCUUAUAAGUGAUUUUCAGAUAAGCAGAAACACAUUAAAGGGAAAGUUUAUUUGGUUCAUUUGCAAGGCAGAGUCCAUGGAUUUCUUUUGGCUAUCCCUUUUUGCACUUUCAAUGGAACAAACAGUGCAAUUUUUAUCCCUUCUGUUUUUAGAGCAGCAGCUGUAAAAGUAAUUAAUGGCUAAAGAGACUCUAGCACAUCCUACUGAAAGGCCAUUCUGGGUUCAGCAGGAGCUCUGGACCCCAGGCUCCUGCCUCUGCACGUUCACAGACUUGCAGAGAGCACUCUGAUGAAUGCUGAAGGACCCCCCUCCCAAACUUGGGAUCUCCGCAGCACCCUGAUCCAUUUUGACCACUGCCACUUAUAAAGAAAACUGGUGUCAACAGGUGUUUUCAUACUAUUUCCAGUGAUGACUUUGGUGCAUAUCCAGUAUUCUUUUUUUUAAUCUCUGGGAGUUGACAAUGUUCUCAUGAAUUCUAUUAAAAAAUGAGCAUUUCCCCUAAUAUGUUUUCUCUUCCUUUCAGCCUUCACUUUCUUCUUUUUGUCUCUACCUUCCUUAAAAUAGCAUUGUGCAAAAACAUCCCUGAGGUUAAAUAAUAAUCAUGUAUAAUGAGGAAGCGUUCUGUGUGUGCCCUCUGCAGAGUCAGAGGCCUGAUGUGGGACUGAAAACACAAGCUGGCCUCCAGGCCUGGUGAGGGUCAUGCUCCCUGUGACCUCGAGUCAAUUGCUCGACACUUUGGAUUCUCAGUUUUCUGAUCUUUAAAAUAAGGAUGACAGUACCUACCUGGGCUACUUCACAGUGUCCUUGAGGGAUCAUGAAAGUGAGUGUAUUUUGUAAACUGCAGUGUUCCAUAGGGACAUAAGGAAUGUUGGUCUUAUUGAUUUUGUUAGAACAAGACUCUUCAGAAACAGUGGUGAGAGAGAGGAAUCAGUCCGGGAUUCCUCUUUUCCAUCUCAUUGACUCAUCUGAUAACACUGAGAUAGUGGCUUGCUGCUGCAUAUUCCCUAGCGGACUGAGAGAACACACAUUUGCCAAAUAUGGAGGGGAAGAUGAGCUUUCUGAACACCCUCCUAUUGUCUGCACUGGAGCUAAGCCAGGCCACAUCUUCAGGAUAAUGAUCUGAGGACGGUCAGGCUCAAUUCAUUCUGCCUGAGCUUUGCUGCUGCCCCUUCAAACUACUUACGAAAGUGGUAUUAGGUUGUGAUGGCUGCUGCCCCACCCUUGGGAGAAUGCCCAGGGGAUGUGGACUGCCCUAGGCAGCCACAGGAAACUGGACCAGAAAGUGCAGAGUCACUGUGUGCCCAGGCGCCUGCAGGCAGAUCUUUCUCCACCACAUACAUUUUUAGUGGGCCCUCUCACAAAUGCCUGAUAUUUAACAUUUGAGAAAGUCAGCAAAAUGUUUUGUUAGUCUUUUAUUCACCAUUUUAAGAAUAUAACGUUUAUCCAGUUGGUGUCGGAUAAAAUCGGGAAAGAAAAAUAUGACUGCACUAUAGACUCAGGGCCCAAAAUUAUUCUGAUGAUGGCCAAGUAAAAACAUUAAAAGCUGAAAAAUAUAAUAGCAUCCAGGAUAUUACUGAAGAUUAGUUUUAAGCUUAAGUUUUUUUCCCUCACUUAUCCAGAUUUGAGUAUGAGAAGAUUUAAAGAAUUCUAUAAAAACUGUGAAAAUGCAUCUGCUAAAUUAAUAACAGUAUUUAUUUCACAAAAAUGUCCUAAGUUUUGUAAUGCCUCUAAAACAAUUCUCAAACUUCUUGGUCUCAGUAUCCCUUUAAAAUUCAUACAUUACUUAGGACCCCAAAGGGCUUUUGUUCAUGUAAAUAAUAUCAAUAUGUAUUUAUUGUAUUAAAAGUUAAACCUGAGAGUUUUUAAAAAUUUAUUUACUAAUUCAUUUAAAAUUAACAAAAACAAACAUACUACCUGUUAACAUCAGUGCAAUGAUGUCGUCAUAUUGAUGCCGGAUUUCUUGCUCCUUAGCUCAGCUAGGUCUGGGUUCUUGUCUCAUGACCAGGAAGAAGUAGGCACCUGGGCACUCUUAGAGUGAGCAAGGCAGGAAAUUUUAUUGAGUGAUGAAACAGCUUUUUCAGGAAGGGGACGGGGAUGGUCCCCCUAUCCAAAGGCAGGAGAGUUCUCAAUAUAACCGAGCCCAGGGCUUUUUAAGGGCUCAGAAUAGGGAGUGUGUGCUGACUGGUUUGUGAGUAUGCAAAAAAGGUCAAAGCAAAGAUGCCACUCAAAGGUGGGCACGACAUUGUAGAAAAUCAAUUAGGAAAGGGUAGGUAUGUGUAAAAUGGGUGAAGGGUGGAGAUCAAUCAGAGGAAAGCACACCAAACAGGAAAGCGGGUUCUCAAUCUGGUUCGAGGAGUUAACUUGUAGCUUGGCUUUCAGGCUUUAAACUGUCUUUGGCUUGGACGUGGGAUUUCGCUGGGGACCCGCCCCUACAUGCUUAGGCAUUUGGCUGCCUCCUGCUGCUCUCAAUAUUUCAUAUAGCUAUGGAAAAACUCUACUCAUAAGGAAAUGAGAGUGAGAAGGGCAAAUGACUUCUUAGUGCUUGCUUGUCAAGGGCUUGUUUGACAAUGUUUGCUCUAAAAUAUUUUGAUCUCCAUGAAAAAAGUGUUAAAGAAAAUGAGGAAUUACAAUUUUAUUAUCCUAGGAUUUUUAAAAGUCUGUUUCAUUGAUCUUAAAAAGUAUAUUUGUAUUGUUCAAAUUGUGGGCUAUGAGUUUGAAUCCUCAUCCUGUCAUGUACUGGUUGAAUGACCUUGGACAAGCUAUUUAAGUUUUCUGGACUUCAGUGUCCUCACCUGUAAAAUAAAAAUGAUAAU
This 4216-nucleotide long non-coding RNA is filed under the name Homo sapiens (human). RNAcentral describes it as "AHI1 divergent transcript". Lineage: Eukaryota; Metazoa; Chordata; Mammalia; Primates; Hominidae. The record is from RNAcentral.